RNAcentral lists this long non-coding RNA (2998 nucleotides) under Homo sapiens (human). Its description in RNAcentral is "HSALNT0100631". The record is from RNAcentral. Lineage: Eukaryota; Metazoa; Chordata; Mammalia; Primates; Hominidae.
AGGCAAACUUAGGUAGGGUUGGGGGGAAACUUUGUGAAGACAGAGAUGGAGUUUUGUUUAACUUUGUAUACCCAGCAGCUUGCAUGAUGUUUGGAACGUAGUAGGUGCUCAAUAAAUAUUUGGCAAAUGGAAGCUAGGUACUUGUUAAGGUGUCUUUUCUACCUUGAUUUUAUUUUACUUUUCUUUCAGUGCUUCCUACAUCACUUAAAGCCUCUUUUGGAGUAAAUGUAAGGCGUAAUUUUGUGGGAUAUACAUGAAACCAGCAUCGUGCUAGGUUUUUUGAGUGAAUCAGAAAGAAAUCAUAAGGCUGUCACCUGAUGCUGACUACCUGGUCCCUGGCUUUAAGAAGUGCACCACUUAGAUGGCUAACCAAGGCAGGAAUGUGAACAUGAGGACACCCUGUCUCAGGAUGAUGCCAGUGGCAUUCACAGGAAGUAAGAACAUAACAUGAACUUCAGAGAAAAUACGAACAGCAUUGAGAUAGGAGAAUUUCUCCCUAAGAAUGGCUUAUUUCUGAGAAAGAGGACUGUGAAGCCCCUUCAGUGAAAUGUGCAUGCAUUUUAAACAUUCCUACAGCAUGCCAGCCUCUUCCUGGGACUACUGGUCACGAGGAACACAGUGUGGAAACCCAGAGGAGGAAGUGGCUAACAGUGUCUGUGGAAGUUGAAGAAGAUUCCUCAGAGAAUGUGGUUUUGGGAUACAAUCUUAAAGGUGGAAAAGGUAGAGAAAAGUCUUCCCAGCUGGGGGAGUAACCAACUGAGGGAAUAAGGAAAGGAUGGUGCAUAAAGGGAAUGGCAGGAAACUCAGGAUACCUGUGGCAGAAGAAGCAUUUGACCCAGGGAGGGUAAAAAGCAAAGGGACCUCCAACGCUGUGCAAAGGUAUGUAGAGUGUGUCCUAGGGAGGGGAUGGAGAUGGGGCAGGAGCCAUUGAAAAGCUUAAGUGAUCUGGUGAGAUUACAUUUUAGAAAGAUCAGUCUGUCUGCAAGAUGGAAAAUGGUUUGAGAGGGACAAGAGUGGAGCAAGGAAACCAGUCAGAGGGUGCUGAAGUGCUCAAGGGAGGCAUGAUGGUGUCUUUGACUGACUCUCGGGGGAAGGUAAGUGGAGGGGUGCCAGCGGAAGCAGGAAGUAGACGCAACAGGUAUUUGAUGUUGGCAUUAAGUAGGGGGGCAGAGCCAUAGGCGACCCCAGGUUUUGUUCAUUCUUGAAAGAGUUUUUCAGUGCCUACAAGGUGCCAGGCACCAUUUUUUUUAUUUUUUUUGUUUGUUUUGUUUUGUUUGGAGACGGAGUCUUGCUCUGUUGCCCAGGCUGGAGUGCAGGGGUGCCAUCUCAGCUCAUUGUAACCUCCACCUUCCAGGUUCAAGCGAUUCUCCUGCCUCAGCCUCCCAAGUAGCUGGGACUACUGGUGUGGGCCACCACACCCACUAAUUUUUGUACUUUUAGUAGAUAGGGAAUUUUGCCAUGUUAGCCAGGCUGGUCUUGAACUCCUGACCUCAAGAGAUCCACCCGCCUUGGCCUCCCAAUGUGCUGGGAUUACAGGCGUGAGCCACUGUGCCUGGCCCUAGGCACUGUUUUAAGUGAGAUACAGCCAUGAACCAAACAGUCAUUCCCUCUAACCCAAAGAUUCCAGACUAAGCUUCAAGCAUGGGAGAACAUGCUGCUUUAUGAGGAGUUUGCUCCAAAAGUUAGGACCUGGUGUUGUUAACUGCGAUACAAAUUUACUCCAGGAAGCUAGUUUUCUAGAAAUUCCCUAACCCACAUGUGUGUUGCCUCAUUUAAGAGAAGACAGGAUAUUUUUAGUCUUUAAGAAAAAAUAACCAGCAGAAAAUGUUCUACAAUGUAGACAAAGUUGGUUACAGAGCAUAACAUUACACUGCAGAUUUGUUCACGUUGCCCAUUCAAUUCCGAAGGACCAGGAGGAACAGGAGUCAAAGAAUCUGGACUUGUGUUUCCUGUUGUCCAUUCGGGAAUAACAACCACUUAUAGUUUGUCUCAGCAACUCCACCUAUUGACAGACUGGCUGUUCUCAGACCUAUUGCCUGCACCCCUAGAAUCUUCUGUCAGGUUCCACAGGAAGCCAUGUUCCCACGCUCCUCUGCUCUCUGACUUCGAGCAGCUAAACAAGCCCUGGUCUCAAGAUGAGCAAUGUUGGAACAACUACAGUUCAUCCAUCACCAGAUGCUGACUAACUAACUCACAUUCCACCAGCCACAACUACAGUUUUGAUUGCGUAAGAGACUGAUUUCAGCAUCUUUCUCCUGGUAAGAGACUAUCAACCAUGGACUGGUUCUGGACGAUUUACCGAAGCUGCACACUACAAUGCAUUCCUGUCCCUGCUUCACCUUUUGAUGUAUAGGGCCUAACUGAAGCACAUAUAAAUGUUAAGUCUCACCCCAAAGCGAACAUGGGUCACACAUAACAUGCAUGUUUAUUCAGUAUGCAUACAUUAAGACCCUCUUCAUAAAUGUUCAUAGCUCCUCCUGUAACCUGUGGAAUAUGUAUAUUUGGCCAACCAGCUCAGCAUAAAUUCCUGUUCCAUCUUCCUUUCCCUUGAAGUGCCCACCUUUCAGCCUCUGCCAGAGGCUGUGCUUCUCAGCCUGUCCGGAUAGUCACUCUGCAGGCUGUAACCUUUUAUAAGAAAUAAAGACUCCUUUCCAAAUGUAUAGAUUUGUGAUUUUUCAAUUAACAAGUAAUUGUUGCUGUGGCACGAUUCAGGAUCUUUUUCGUCAACAGGUUAUUUAUUAAGCACCAUUUAAGUGCCAGGCACUGUUCUAGGUACUGAGAAUACAGCAGUGUCAACACAUAAAGAUUAAUGGAGUGUAUAGUCUAGUGGGAGUAUACGGACAAUAAACAAAUAAAUACAUGAUACGUCAAACGGAGACAAGUGCUAUGAAAAAAUGACUAGAGCAGCUUAAGAGGACAGAGAGGGUCAGAGCUGGGGGUGCUAUUUUAGAGACAGUGGCCAGAGGAGACAUUUGAGAAGAGACUUGAGAAAAGUGAG